AAGUUGGCAGGCGGUGAAUUUGUUUACACCGAAUGGGUCGGGGGUUCGAGCCCCUCACCGCCCACCA
RNAcentral lists this transfer RNA (67 nucleotides) under Rubricella aquisinus. RNAcentral's name for it is "tRNA-OTHER". Lineage: Bacteria; Pseudomonadati; Pseudomonadota; Alphaproteobacteria; Rhodobacterales; Paracoccaceae. The record is from RNAcentral.